Molecule: unclassified non-coding RNA, 4589 nt
Filed under: Polistes fuscatus (common paper wasp)
Lineage: Eukaryota; Metazoa; Arthropoda; Insecta; Hymenoptera; Vespidae
Description: trichohyalin-like, transcript variant X5
Source: RNAcentral
UUUCGAUAAAGAACUUGGUUACGCUGUUUAAUUUUCUUUUUUUCUUUUUUCUUUUUUCUUUUUUCUUUUUUUAAACUGUUUCCUUAUUUUUAACAAUUACGAAUGGUUUAGAAGUUAGUGUAGAUAAUCUGACAAUUGUGCUUGUUCUUUGCAUGUAGGGUGUCUAUUCACGGCGAUUCCAUAGCAAAUGGACAUUUGCAUAUUGCAGUUAUGUGCUUCCAUUGUGAAAACAUAAUUGUUUUAUGGUGAUAAUAUGUCAAAAUCAAACAUAAGGAAGAUAACAGUUGACCCUACGAAAUGUAAUACUGACUCUCGUCGACCCAGUGUGUUCGAAAGGUUGGGGACCAAACCAGCAGUCACAGCAAUAGGUCAAAAUACAUCAGAUUACUGCAGGAAUUGGGCAUUGAAUGGCAGCUGUUCAUACGGGAAAAAUUGCAAGUAUGCAAACACUCACACACUGAUAAGUCCAUCCAAGCGUGCGAAGAAGGAUAAUGCAAUUUCAAAUACGACAGGGCUUGUUGAGGACCCAUUUAAACGACUAACUUCUAAAAUUGUUAAGAAACCAUCGCAUAGUCCUGAUUUGAAUUUAGAGGAGUGGAAUCAAACAGAUCUAGAAUACGAAGACGAGAAAGUGUUAGAAAGACGUAGGCAGCUUCUGCAACGAGAAUUAGAAAUACAAAUGAAGAAAGAUAAAGAAGUUCAUGGCAAAGAAAGAGUCAGACAGAAAAAAAAAGCAAUGAGUUCAUCCUCAAGUUCACAUACCUCCAGCACAUCUAGCAGUAGUAGCAGUUCCAGCAGCGAAGAUUCUUCCUCGAGUUCAACAUCAGAUUCGCGGAAAAAAGUUAAAAAAAUGAAAUUGAAGCGACACCAUAGUGCUUCUACAGACUAUGAUGAAGAAAAAGAAAGGAGGAGAAAGCUGAAGAUAAAAAGGCUUGGAACAAAAAAUGAAAAACCUGUUGCCAAGAAAAAACGUAAAAUUGAUCCAGGUUCCGUCAAAAAAGAUAUUUCUGUAAGAACAAAUAAGAAGUGUGCAUCAACCUCUUCCACUUCAAGAAAACAUUCGACUGGUAGUCGGGUUAGAUCUCCCACGGUACAGGUAUCUACAUCAGCAGUUGCAUCAACGCCUCCUAUGUUAUUGGGAUCAUCAGUAUCAGUAGCUCAUCAUUUACCUUCUAAUAAAGCAAGAGAAAGAAAUAGAAGUGAUUCGCCUAAAACAAUAAAAGGUAGAGAAUCAGAGAAAGACGAUAGACAUUAUAAAAAGUUAAGAGAUACAGAUGACGUAUCAUCUAAAGAAAAUGUAAAAAACAAAUCCUUUGAAAAAUUGAAAGAACAAGACAAAGAAAAAAAUCGGGCAGUCGAUGAAAAAAUGAAAACUGAUGAUAGAUUGAAAGCAAAAUGUAAGGAAAAAGAUGUAAGAUCAAGAACUCCGUCUAUAGCGGACAGAUCGAAGCAUCAGUAUAAUAAGGAGACUGUAUCCGCAAAAUCACGACGUAGCCGUACACCUGAAAAAGCAACGAGAUCAAAACGGGAAGUAACUCCAUUAAGAAAUCAAGAAAGACUUUCAUCUUCAAGCAGAUCAAGAGACGUGGAGAAGAAGGAUCGGGAGAAUCAUAAGAAUGAUAAAAAUAAGGAUAGAGAAGAUAUUAGAAAAGCUGAACAAGGAAAACCAAGGCAAUCUUCUAGUCAAGAUGAGGCACAUCGUAAAAAUGUUAUUAAAGAUUUUGACGAGAAAUCAUAUUUAAAUGACAAAGCGCGACAAAAAAGUAGGGAAUGUCGUGAUAAGGAUCAUGCAAGGGAUGAACGUAAUCAUACAAGAUUUAAUCGUGAUCAACGUGAUCCACAACGUAACGAUCCACAACGUGAUAAAGAAAAGGAUGAUACGCAGGAACGUUGUCGAGAGAGACAAAGGGACAGAGAUCGUGAACGUGAAAGAGAACGCGAAAGAGAACGUGAUCGAGAUCGUGAAAGAGAUCGCGAACGUGAACGUGAACGUGAGAGAGAUCGUGAGAGGGAUCGAGAUCGAGAUAGAGAUCGAGAUAGAGAUAAGGAAUCUGUCAAAGCAAGAGAUAGAGAUGUUUCAUCUUUGGUUCCGUCUGCAUCAAUAAGUUUAACAGCGGACAAAAAUUCACGAUAUGGUCGAGAUAAAGAACGGAUUGCAGGAAAAGAAAGUACAUAUGAGAAAACUGGUACACGUGACCGUAGAAGCGAUAGGGAACGAGAACGAUCUGAAACGAAGGCACUUAAUGAACGUGAUAGAACUUCAUCUCAGCGUUUUGACGCAAGGUAUGAUAGAAAUGGCGCUGAUAAAGAUACAUUAAAUCGUAAAGCAACCAAUUCUCCACGAGAUCGAGUUGAUCGCUUUCCCAGAGAACGGUCGUUGGACAAAGCGCCUCUUCUGGAAAAAACUGUACAUCCUCCUGCAACAGCAUCGUCUGCAUCAUUAUUACCACCAGUUGCGUCAUCUACAACUUCAUCUUCCUCAGCAGUAGCAAUAGCACCUGCUUUAUCUGCUUCACGUGAUCAUUUGAUCGAUAGAGUGGAUUCUACGCAUUACGAAAGAGAUAGGCAUCGAAGAUUUAGUACAAGGUAUGAACGUGGACAUGGAUCUGAACAUGAUAGGAAGGAGUCUAGAGUCACCCCAACUAAAAUUGAUCGUGUAGUAGAAAGGAGAGAUGCUAGUCCACGCCGAGCUAUUGAAAUGGAAAGAAGUUUUAACAGAAAUUAUGGAAGACUUGGAGCAGAUCAUUGGGAGGAUCAGGAAGAACCUAAUCCACAUUUAGAUUAUCGAGAUCAUCAUCCACAUGAAGAUGACAGAAGAAAAUUAAUUGAUGGUAGAAGGUACGACAGUCCGUUUGACGAAAGACGGGGAGUUCGCGAAGAAAGAUCUAGAGAUUCUAGAUAUGUUGUACAAACUAGCGAUAGAUCUUCGUUCGAUGAUCAUCGUCAUCAUCAUCAUCAUCAUAGACAUCCAAUUUAUGGCGGAGAUAAAUUACGUCCCGGUAAUAGCGGACUAAGAGAUGAGGCUGUUCCCAAUGAGGAUUGGGAAGCACAUCAUCGAGAAGUUGAACAUGGUCGAGAUAGAUCUUAUACAGCUGUUGAUUGGGAGGAGAGAGAAUGGCGAGCAAGAGCACUCUGGGGUAGUAGGGAUAGUCUUCCACGUUCGGAGGCUCAUGACGAUGAGUGGGCUGCAAGAUAUGAAAAUUCUUUAUCUGAUUGGAAAGUUAAUGAAAAUCGAAAAUGGGAUAAUCAACCCAUACAACAUAUUCGGGGUCACUACAGAAAUGAACGAUCUAAAGAAGUUGAAUUAGGAGAAUCAACAUCGCACAAUAAAAGACGUCCAUAUGUGAAUCCAGAAGUCAGGGAAGAAUGUCCAGUUCAUGCUUCUAAACAAGCAGCUCUUUAUGGUAGUAUGAAAGAAGAACCAAUUAAUAAAAAAUUAAUGGAACUUGCUGAAGGUAGGUUACAUACAAAUCGGGAGAAAUCGGUAGAAAUAUAUCAGAAAAAAAAUAUACCAAGGGAAAAAUCUGAGGUGAAGGAAACCCAUAUACCUGAACCGAAACGAUCUUGUAUCGAAGAAUCUUUACAAACUCUACACACAGAAAGUGAUCUUAGUGAUAUCAGUGAUGAUCCUGAUGAUAUUCUCAAUAUGGAGGAAGAAGUUACGGAUGCUGAAUCAAACAAAUUACGAUUACCUAAGAAAACACCUGAAAUAACACAGAAAGAACAACAACCUGUCAUUCAAGAAACAGCUCAACCAUCACCUAAAGAAUCUAUAGAAGAUACCGUGUUCAAUGUGAAAGGAAAAGAUAGUUCUGUUACUAUGACAUUUCGAAAUAUGGUUGAUGAAAAUAUGGAAUCUAUGGUCUUUGAAGAAAUAUCUGAUGGUGAAUUGGAAGAGGAUAUUAAAACAAGUGGUAAAGGUUUAGGCGAUGCUUUAGGCGUUGAUUGGGAAAGCUUUGUAAAAGAAAUGCAACCACGUCGACCUCUGUCUUCUGGGCAACAAAAUGCCAAAAAUCGUUGGCAGUGUAAAGCAAUUUUUCACAGAAUUGGUAUAUCUUUUAAAUAUGCAGGCGAAGAUACUAUUAAUACACUAACGCAAAAAUAUGGGAAGGAAGAUCAUUCUGAUUUAUUCUUGGAUAAGGUUGCAUUAGUUCAUACAGCAUUAACAAGAAACGAAUUCUUGCAUAACAAUUUACUGGCGUCUAUGGAUGAUCUAGUAUAUAGAUUAAAAAAUGCCAAUAAUGAUGAUUUAGAAUAUGAUAUAGAUGCUCUAAAGCCAUGUACAACAUUGUACGAAACAGCAAAGUGUUUGUUGCAGCAAGCAAUUUAAAACAUUGUACUGUUUGAUGUGCAUAAAUUUAUUGUAAAAUUGUACUACUUAUAUUUUUCAUGUGACACGUGCAAAUAUAUAAAUUCAGAGCAUAAUCUGCUAUUAAAAGUAAAAUUAUCCUACUAAAAGAAUUGUGGAUCGUUACAAGUUUCUAAUUGUUUGAAGCAAUGCAUAUUUCAAUGUAACAAUAUCACAAAUUGCCGUUUAAGAAAGUUGAUGCUACAGCAUCGUUUUGAAAAAUAUUAUUUAUUUCAUUUAA